RNAcentral lists this ribosomal RNA (475 nucleotides) under uncultured bacterium. Its description in RNAcentral is "bacterial SSU rRNA". It matches the Rfam family "Bacterial small subunit ribosomal RNA", at positions 29 to 509 of the family's 1533-position model. The record is from RNAcentral.
AAUGAACGUUGGCGGCGUGGAUUAGGCAUGCAAGUCGUACGCAUAGCUUCGGCUAUGAGUGGCGCAAGGGUGAGUAAUGCGAAGGUAACCAACCCUGGUGUUGGGCAUAGCCGCGGGAAACUGCGGGUAAUUCCCAGCGACGUCACGAGAUGGCAUCAUCUUGUGACCAAAGGUGUGAUUCCGCUCUAGGACGGGCCUUCGUGGUAUUAGGUAGUUGGUGAGGUAACGGCUCACCAAGCCGACGAUGCCUACCGGGUGUGAGAGCAUGACCCGGCACACUGGAACUGAGACACUGUCCAGACACCUACGGGUGGCUGCAGUCGAGAAUCUUCGGCAAUGGGCGAAAGCCUGACCGAGCGACGCCGCGUGAGGGAUUGAAGGCCUUCGGGUGUAAACCUACUUCGUAGAGGAGGAAGGGCCGGUGAAGAACGGUCUUUGACCUAUUCUAGGAAGAAGCUUGGGCUAAGUUCGUGCC